RNAcentral lists this ribosomal RNA (497 nucleotides) under uncultured bacterium. RNAcentral describes it as "partial 16S ribosomal RNA". It matches the Rfam family "Bacterial small subunit ribosomal RNA", at positions 28 to 507 of the family's 1533-position model. The record is from RNAcentral.
GAUGAACGCUGGCGGCGUGCCUAAUACAUGCAAGUCGAGCGAACAGACGAGGAGCUUGCUCCUCUGACGUUAGCGGCGGACGGGUGAGUAACACGUGGAUAACCUACCUAUAAGACUGGGAUAACUUCGGGAAACCGGAGCUAAUACCGGAUAAUAUAUUGAACCGCAUGGUUCAAUAGUGAAAGACGGUUUUGCUGUCACUUAUAGAUGGAUCCGCGCCGCAUUAGCUAGUUGGUAAGGUAACGGCUUACCAAGGUAACGAUGCGUAGCCGACCUGAGAGGGUGAUCGGCCACACUGGAACUGAGACACGGUCCAGACUCCUACGGGAGGCAGCAGUAGGGAAUCUUCCGCAAUGGGCGAAAGCCUGACGGAGCAACGCCGCGUGAGUGACGAAGGUCUUCGGAUCGUAAAACUCUGUUAUUAGGGAAGAACAAAUGUGUAAGUAACUAUGCACGUCUUGACGGUACCUAAUCAGAAAGCCACGGCUAACUACGUG